GGGAUGUGAAAGUCUUAGGGACCUUACAGUGGCAAUUAAACCGCUGGUUCCGACCAACAAAGUCUGGAAAUUAACAAAUCCUUUUAUAAUAUAUACAUAUAUAUAUUUACUCACAAACCCUCCAGUUUUUUAUUUUAAUUGUUUUAGUAUUGGAACACUGCCUGUGAUGUUUAGGCUGGUUCAGCAAUGGUUUGAUUCAUUGAUUUAAGAGCUUUAUGGAAAACUGUCUAUACUGGUGGGCGCAGACAUUGUGGCCUUAGGCAAUCGUGUUGAUGCACAGAGGCAGUAGGCUGAGGAUGGAUUUGCUGUAUCUCCUGGCCUUCACAAUCGUCUUUGGACAGUGCACUGGCAUAAGGGGUCCUCCAAGGAUUGUGAAGAAAGUGAUGAGCCGGCAGGUGGUCAAGUUUGGCCGCACAGUCAGGUUGGCCUGUCCUGUAGAGGGCGACCCUCCCCCGCUGACCAUGUGGAUCAAGGACGGACGUACCAUCCACAGUGGCUGGACGAGGUUCCGAGUCCUCCAGCAUGGCCUCAAAAUCAAGGAGGUGGAAGUGGAGGACGCUGGAGUGUAUGUCUGCAGAGCAACCAAUGGGUUUGGCAGCAUCCAUCUCAACUAUA
Rhincodon typus (whale shark) is the source of this 615-nucleotide long non-coding RNA. RefSeq lists it as uncharacterized. The transcript has 3 exons. NCBI's taxonomy places the organism in Eukaryota, Metazoa, Chordata, Chondrichthyes, Orectolobiformes, Rhincodontidae. The record is from RefSeq and is a predicted model, not a curated record.